AGUCUUCUCUGCAGACACCAGCCUGGUGUCCUCCUUCAUCCCAGGCUGCCAGGCUAGGCAGGGGACAGCGGCUGCCCUGGUCCUCACAGCCCUGGCUACGGGGCUGGUGACAGCCAGAUCCUCAUGCUUCUGCGACCUGAGCGCUGCCUUCAGACACCUCUCUGCUGGCGUGUUCCUGGGUCCAUGAUGGAAGAAGGAAAAGUAUUUUUAAAAGACAAUCUGAAGCUCAUACUGUGACUGCAACAUAAAAUGUGUUCACCUGAGGAGACUGCUUUCAUCGCCAGUGUGUCACAGGUCUCUGAUGGUUCUGGUUUCCUGGGCACCUAGAAUAAGUGUGUCACCAUUUGUCCUGAAGCUGACUUCUCUGAGCUGGAUGGCACCCUGGACAUCAACCAGCCCUUCACCUUCACGUCACACAGGAGGGACACUGGUCCAUAGAGAGGAUGCCUGCUCUGGUCACCAGCUGGAGAGUGGCAGACCUUGGGUACCUGACCUUUGGACUCUGCCACACAGAGCACUUCCUCAGUCCCUCCUGCUGCCCCUGGCAGGGUGGAGCUGGCAGGGCAGCUGAUCCAGGACCGUCCACUUCCAAGCCAGCAGGAGGAUGGAAAAGCAGAAUGGAGGGGAAACAACCUCCUUUGCAGGGCGUGACUCGGAAGUUGGACACAUCAUUUCCAGCCACAUUCCAUGGACCAGAAUUAGCCCUGUGACCAACUCUGGCUGCCAGAAAAUCUGGGAAAUACAGUCUCUGCUUGGGCGAUCAGGCAGGCAGUUAUAUCUUUGGGAACAUCUCUCACCCCCUGGGAACACCUGAGCAGAAACUGAAGGACAUUUAACAGAUUCUCCUUUGUGUCUAAUAAGAAUUGCCCCCAUCAGUCGGGGCUGUCCUAGGUGCUGGGUACAUAGGUCAUCUAUACACAACCCAGCAAUGGAGAGCACACCAUUCCCAGGCUGCAGAUGCAGAAACUGUGGCUCGGAGAGUUAAGCGUCUUGUUCAGAUUCAGUCAGCUGGUAGAUGGCAGGUCUGGGAUUGAGACCCAGGCCUGGCUGGUCCUGCCAGGACACAGUAUCACAGCUUUGACUGGGAGCUUCUUUUUGUU
RNAcentral lists this long non-coding RNA (1100 nucleotides) under Homo sapiens (human). RNAcentral's name for it is "non-protein coding SPATA3-AS1:5". The record is from RNAcentral. Lineage: Eukaryota; Metazoa; Chordata; Mammalia; Primates; Hominidae.